UUAGUGGCGAACGGGUGAGUAACACGUGAGUAACCUGCCCCUGACUCUGGGAUAAGCCCGGGAAACUGGGUCUAAUACCGGAUAUGACUUUUGACCGCAUGGUUGAGGGUGGAAAGAUUUAUCGGUUGGGGAUGGACUCGCGGCCUAUCAGCUUGUUGGUGAGGUAAUGGCUCACCAAGGCGACGACGGGUAGCCGGCCUGAGAGGGUGACCGGCCACACUGGGACUGAGACACGGCCCAGACUCCUACGGGAGGCAGCAGUGGGGAAUAUUGCACAAUGGGCGCAAGCCUGAUGCAGCGACGCCGCGUGAGGGAUGACGGCCUUCGGGUUGUAAACCUCUUUCAGUAGGGAAGAAGCGAGAGUGACGGUACCUGCAGAAGAAGCGCCGGCUAACUACGUGCCAGCAGCCGCGGUAAUACGUAGGGCGCAAGCGUUAUCCGGAUUUAUUGGGCGUAAAGAGCUCGUAGGCGGUUUGUCGCGUCUAUCGUGAAAGUCCGAGGCUCAACCUCGGAUCUGCGGUGGGUACGGGCAGACUAGAGUGAUGUAGGGGAGACUGGAAUUCCUGGUGUAGCGGUGAAAUGCGCAGAUAUCAGGAGGAACACCGAUGGCGAAGGCAGGUCUCUGGGCAUUUACUGACGCUGAGGAGCGAAAGCAUGGGGAGCGAACAGGAUUAGAUACCCUGGUAGUCCAUGCCGUAAACGUUGGGCACUAGGUGUGGGGGACAUUCCACGUUUUCCGCGCCGUAGCUAACGCAUUAAGUG
RNAcentral lists this ribosomal RNA (762 nucleotides) under Glutamicibacter sp. RNAcentral describes it as "bacterial SSU rRNA". It matches the Rfam family "Bacterial small subunit ribosomal RNA", at positions 92 to 866 of the family's 1533-position model. Lineage: Bacteria; Bacillati; Actinomycetota; Actinomycetes; Micrococcales; Micrococcaceae. The record is from RNAcentral.